UACGAAGGGGGCUAGCUUUGCUCGGAAUCACUGGGCGUAAAGGGUGCGUAGGCGGGUUUUUAAGUCAGGGGUGAAAUCCUGGAGCUCAACUCCAGAACUGCCUUUGAUACUGAAGAUCUUGAGUCCGGGAGAGGUGAGUGGAACUGCGAGUGUAGAGGUGAAAUUCGUAGAUAUUCGCAAGAACACCAGUGGCGAAGGCGGCUCACUGGCCCGGUACUGACGCUGAGGUGCGAAAGCGUGGGGAGCAAACAGG
This 253-nucleotide ribosomal RNA is filed under the name uncultured bacterium. Its description in RNAcentral is "partial 16S ribosomal RNA". It matches the Rfam family "Bacterial small subunit ribosomal RNA", at positions 524 to 776 of the family's 1533-position model. The record is from RNAcentral.